UUGCGAUAUGCAACUAAGAUUGAGAGCCACUGACCGAGAGGGUUUCCAUCAGACCUGGUAGAGCCCAUUGAUGUUGGAGGAUCUUGAUAAUAAAAGAGAUAUGAUGUCAUUCCCCAAGUCUGGACAAGGAAUAUUUUGGAGAGGGAAGAUAAAUCGUUGAAUUUGGAGGAAAAAAAUGAUGUCUUUGGCUCAUCCACGUGACAAUGUUAAGUAGAAUUAGAUGUAGAAAUUAGUGCUCUGAAGAGAGAAUUUGGUACUAGAUAUAAAUUUAGGAGAUAUGGUGACUCUAUUUCAGCUAACAGCAUAGGAAUAAAGCAUAUUACCUCUGGAGAAGUGAAAAAAAGGAAUAAAGAAAUAAAACAUAAAGGAAAAAAUUAAAGGUAGACAAUUAAAAGAAAACAUGUUAGAAUCCUGGAAAACACCAAUAUUUAAAGAAAAAUGAAAAUGAUCCCACAAAAAAAAAGACAGGAAACAGAGAAAAACAGAGAGAAUGAAUGAAUGAAUGAAUGAAUGCAUAAAUUAAGGUAAUUUUAUGGAAGCCAG
Molecule: long non-coding RNA, 543 nt
Filed under: Callithrix jacchus (white-tufted-ear marmoset)
Lineage: Eukaryota; Metazoa; Chordata; Mammalia; Primates; Cebidae
Description: lncRNA (ENSCJAG00000081298.1)
Source: RNAcentral